Long non-coding RNA from Neodiprion virginianus, 570 nucleotides. RefSeq lists it as uncharacterized. The transcript is spliced from 4 exons. The record is from RefSeq and is a predicted model, not a curated record. NCBI's taxonomy places the organism in Eukaryota, Metazoa, Arthropoda, Insecta, Hymenoptera, Diprionidae.
UGAUACUUAAUUUCUUACCAGUUCUGAAAUGAUCUGAAAGUAUUUUAGGUUCCUGAUGAGUGAAAAAUCUAUACCACGUUGCAGUACCGGCGAUUUAUGAUUUUCUCAGUCAUGGAGUUCAUUGUAGAGGAGGAAGAGGUUGUUUCUUUAUCUCAUCGCAAUUACAUGUUCAUGAUGGAGUCAGCACCGAUUUCUGUUGCUAUUUUUGCAUGAACAUGAAGGAUCGCUGCAUGAAUCAAUCUAUAUAGCAGUAUUUUUAAUCUCAGGUAUGGAAAUUCUAUUCCCAACGUAUGUCAAGCAUGGAUUGCAUUGAUCAUACCAAAGUCGUCGGCGGUACUUCGUUACUCAGCCAAAAUAUUAAAAAUAAAUGCAUGUAUUAUAUCACAUCCACUGUGUCAUCUGCUACGCAAAUUAAAAAGAUUUUCUUCAAUCGUUUACCGGUUUUCUAGUAUAUGGCAUACUACUAGAUCGGUUGAUAACUGAAUUCCCGGCAAACCCGAGGAGCGCUCAAUUUUAAAUCAAAGCACCUAAUUAGCACCUGAAAAGUAUAUCAUUUUCAUAUGCGUCAUA